GAUGAACGCUGGCGGCGUGCCUAAUACAUGCAAGUCGAGCGAACAGAUAAGGAGCUUGCUCCUUUGACGUUAGCGGCGGACGGGUGAGUAACACGUGGGUAACCUACCUAUAAGACUGGGAUAACUUCGGGAAACCGGAGCUAAUACCGGAUAACAUUUGGAUCCGCAUGGUUCUAAAGUGAAAGAUGGUUUUGCUAUCACUUAUAGAUGGACCCGCGCCGUAUUAGCUAGUUGGUAAGGUAACGGCUUACCAAGGCGACGAUACGUAGCCGACCUGAGAGGGUGAUCGGCCACACUGGAACUGAGACACGGUCCAGACUCCUACGGGAGGCAGCAGUAGGGAAUCUUCCGCAAUGGGCGAAAGCCUGACGGAGCAACGCCGCGUGAGUGAUGAAGGGUUUCGGCUCGUAAAACUCUGUUAUUAGGGAAGAACAAAUGUGUAAGUAACUGUGCACGUCUUGACGGUACCUAAUCAGAAAGCCACGGCCAACUACGUG
RNAcentral lists this ribosomal RNA (497 nucleotides) under uncultured bacterium. RNAcentral's name for it is "partial 16S ribosomal RNA". It matches the Rfam family "Bacterial small subunit ribosomal RNA", at positions 28 to 507 of the family's 1533-position model. The record is from RNAcentral.